This 72-nucleotide transfer RNA is filed under the name Sus scrofa (pig). It matches the Rfam family "tRNA". From Rfam's summary of the family: Transfer RNA (tRNA) molecules are approximately 80 nucleotides in length. Their secondary structure includes four short double-helical elements and three loops (D, anti-codon, and T loops). Lineage: Eukaryota; Metazoa; Chordata; Mammalia; Artiodactyla; Suidae. The record is from Rfam by way of RNAcentral.
UCCCUGUUGGUUUAGUGGUUAGGAUUCAGUGCUUCCACUACUGUGACCCAGGUUCAAUCCUUGGUCUGGGAA